GACGAACGCUGGCGGCGUGCUUAACACAUGCAAGUCGAACGGAAAGGCCCUGCUUUUGUGGGGUGCUCGAGUGGCGAACGGGUGAGUAACACGUGAGUAACCUGCCCUUGACUUUGGGAUAACUUCAGGAAACUGGGGCUAAUACCGGAUAGGAGCUCCUGCUGCAUGGUGGGGGUUGGAAAGUUUCGGCGGUUGGGGAUGGACUCGCGGCUUAUCAGCUUGUUGGUGGGGUAGUGGCUUACCAAGGCUUUGACGGGUAGCCGGCCUGAGAGGGUGACCGGCCACAUUGGGACUGGGAUACGGCCCAGACUCCUACGGGGGGCAGCAGUGGGGAAUAUUGCACAAGGGGCGGAAGCCUGAUGCAGCAACGCCGCGUGCGGGAUGACGGCCUUCGGGUUGUAAACCGCUUUCGCCUGUGACGAAGCGUGAGUGACGGUAAUGGGUAAAGAAGCACCGGCUAACUACGUG
Molecule: ribosomal RNA, 468 nt
Filed under: uncultured bacterium
Lineage: Bacteria
Description: partial 16S ribosomal RNA
Rfam family: Bacterial small subunit ribosomal RNA
Source: RNAcentral